Molecule: transfer RNA, 63 nt
Filed under: Ochthebius sp. IBE<ESP> AN292
Lineage: Eukaryota; Metazoa; Arthropoda; Insecta; Coleoptera; Hydraenidae
Description: tRNA-Cys
Source: RNAcentral
AGUCUUAUAUUCAAAUUAAUGAUUUUAAAUUGCAAAUUUAAAGGAGGAGGAAUCCUAAGGCUU